RNAcentral lists this ribosomal RNA (497 nucleotides) under uncultured bacterium. RNAcentral describes it as "partial 16S ribosomal RNA". It matches the Rfam family "Bacterial small subunit ribosomal RNA", at positions 28 to 507 of the family's 1533-position model. The record is from RNAcentral.
GAUGAACGCUGGCGGCGUGCCUAAUACAUGCAAGUCGAGCGAACAGACGAGGAGCUUGCUCCUCUGACGUUAGCGGCGGACGGGUGAGUAACACGUGGAUAACCUACCUAUAAGACUGGGAUAACUUCGGGAAACCGGAGCUAAUACCGGAUAACAUGUUGAACCGCAUGGUUCAACAGUGAAAGACGGUCUUGCUGUCACUUAUAGAUGGAUCCGCGCUGCAUUAGCUAGUUGGUAAGGUAACGGCUUACCAAGGCAACGAUGCGUAGCCGACCUGAGAGGGUGAUCGGCCACACUGGAACUGAGACACGGUCCAGACUCCUACGGGAGGCAGCAGUAGGGAAUCUUCCGCAAUGGGCGAAAGCCUGACGGAGCAACGCCGCGUGAGUGAUGAAGGUCUUCGGAUCGUAAAACUCUGUUAUUAGGGAAGAACAAAUGUGUAAGUAACUAUGCACGUCUUGACGGUACCUAAUCAGAAAGCCACGGCUAACUACGUG